CAGGGUUAUUGGAGGAAAGGGACGUAGGCUCAGAAGGUGCACCAUCAUGUUCGUUGAGCUGUUACUGGAUCUUCUUGAAUUGUGUGACGGUUGGAAAUAACUUGACUUUAGUGGUUUGUUUCAUGCAUGAAAGACAUGCCAAGUGGAAUAGGCUUCUGAAGUUCUGGUGGUUAUGUGAACACACGAUUGUAUUGUUUAUACCAGCCAUGACCUGAACAAUCCUGCAAACAGCAGAGGUGUUACCUCCCUCAAACUAGCCAACACCAGAGCUGUGAGAGCUGUGAGUGUGAGGGUUGUAUUGUGUAGCUUCAAGUAUUAGUUCAACCACUUUUCAUCCCGACCUGUCACCAGCGUUCCGGAUACCAGGCAGUUUACGAACGUACAGUCCAAAGUCUUUGGCAUAGGCAAGUGAUAGGUAUCCAGGCCUCAGCGGUCUGUCCUACUCCUACUGAGUCCUAGCCUCCUUCACGCUGUCAUUGUAAUGCGCCUCCCUGGGCAGUUACAGCUCAGUCGCUACUUCUCACCAGGCCAGGGAGUACAAUACCCCCUACUUCUCACGAACAGCAGUUCGGACAUCCGCCGGCGGUGUUGUUGUGAGAGUGUGCAUGUGUGAAGUGAACGGAACCGAUAAACGUCCUGCCUCGUGCCUGCAUGGAUUCAUACACGGAUAUUGUGAGUGUGGGGAUUCAUCGUACAGCGUCUGUCAGUCCUUCAAUCGCUACAAAACUACAAAAGUUUGACUGGAUGAGGAGUUUUUCACCCUGUUAUUGAAUUCAACGAGUGACGGAGAUGUUACAACAGUUUCCGUAACAGGUCACCUAUACUUGCUUGCUACGUCUUCUUCCUUCGCUGGAAACGCUUGGUGGUUGAAGCUCCCCAGGUCUCUCCCGUCUCCGCAGCUAGCGCUGUUCGGCACCGAGUGACGCAGCAGCGCAGCUCGCUGACUGGCUGAAGCAGACUGCUAGAACACAGAGGAUUCCGCCAUUUGCAUGCAGCCGGGUUCCGGGUUCGGGAUUUCGUGCCGCUUGUUUUCUCCACUGGAAUCUCUGGCACAACAGCAGAACUGUCACCAGCUGCUCCCGGGUGUGAAUCUGUUCAGAGAGAACUGGACGCUGAAGAGGCUCGGAAAAGUUUGGCAGUAUUUCACUGACUGUUGGUGAAGUUUCACAUCGCAGAAAGGGCUGCACUGCCACUGACAUUGACAGGCAUCCUAACACAGGAUUCAACCUACGGAUUGAGCUGCACUUCGGUUAGGUAGUGAGUACACACCGUGCACCACUGUGGGCGAGCAAAGAGAGACGGUCCCAUAGAAUUCGGCAGCAGCGACAACACGACUGCAAGCUGCACAUCGCUAGCAGUAUGUCUGUUGUGUCGGAGCAGUGGAGAAGAAGCAAGCAGUAUGAGCUGGAGGACCCAAAAUGGCAGCACGAGACUGCCUGGAAUGCGCUGGACCAUGCGUUUGCAAUACUGCAGCUGGUAAGCGAGAACGUAGUGGCAGCACCUCGCUGCAGCCCCAGUCCCUCUUCGACUGCGUCCGCCUCCGCGGUUGAAACCAGCUAUCGCCUUCAGGAGAUGCUAUCGUCUAUUGGUGACACCUCCAUGCAAUGCACUGAACCGGAAUCGAGUCUUGCCCGGCUGUCAUUUCUGCAAGUUGCUGAACCAACUCACUUGCCUGUAUUGACUGACAACGAUAAGUCACCGUCUCAACCUCAACAGGCCCAAGGCACGGGCUCAGCACAAGAUUCCACGGACCCACUGACAGAAUCGACCAGCCAAUCCAAGUCCGUAGAUAGUCCGGCAGUGGGUGUCGCUAUGGCCGCCGCAUUCGGCGAUUCAACAAAGCCAGCAGUUCUUACCGAGCCUUCUGUUGAGCAUGCGUAAGUGACACGUUCUUCCCAUACGUGACCAUACCUGCCGGCUAUCGUUCACACAUCGCAGAGACUGAACAAGACUAAUCCAUGUACUGAAAGGCAGUAGGAUUCUAUGAUAGGAUAAGAAACAUUCACUACACUUAUCGAUACUGUAACUCCGCCGAGGAUAUAUGAACGGUUAUACAGAGGGAUUGUUCAUCAUUUGGACUGGAUCCUGCAUAUUGUUUGUUGUCGCAGUCAUCGUUCUGCAGUUGGUGAUUGCGGAAGCUGUUUGCUGACAUUAUGCCUAUGGUUUGUGUGAGUUGUAACCAGCUCUGUCCAGGGUCUAUUUGUGAGACAGUGUUUUAACAUGCAGCCGACCCAUGCCGCACAGUUAUGCUCUUCUUACAGUAGCUUGCACUGCUUUGUGAGCAGCUGAGCGUCGGUGAUAUGCACUGGCAGCUCACUACAUGUACUUCAAACUAGCACUUGAACAUGGUAGCAAUUGCUAGCUCCAUGAUCCCAUACCUACAUAGCAGCCAUACAAGUAUUGUAUAAGUGUAAUAGGAUUCGACUGUGGUGUUCUUGCACAUGUACAAUGUACACACAUACCUUUACACAAGAUUCAGAUUGACAUUUUAGUAGUGCUGCACUGUGAAUGUUACUGGUUGGGUAGCGCCAUAAUAAUAUUAUUAUGAUGACUGAUCUCUAGGUUUUGGCACAUGUGCAGCCCAUGGCUACACAGACCAAUAUGGUCUAUUGCUUAUCUGCUUGUUGUAUUUUGAUCGCGUAUCUGCUUGUUGUAUUUUCUACUUCACGUUCUGCUCGAUCCUGGCUGGCUGAUGUUCUGUUGCCCUUGAUUUGUCGUACAAUAUCGAAUAUUACAUUGUCGAUGAUAAUUGGACGAAUUGUGCAGUUCAAUUAUAGAUGCAAUCAACCACACGAGCCACCAUGCGGGCAGAUUCAUAGCAAUAAAGAAUAACUAUUGUUGUGCAUGCCUAACAAAUUACCAUUGCUUUGUCUUCCUUGCGGCAUAGCCAGUGGAACCGUUAUCCAGGCGUGUGUGUGCUUGUCAGCUGAGCACAUACUGCUGUGGAGAAAUCUCA
This is a long non-coding RNA of Sycon ciliatum, 2956 nucleotides long. RefSeq lists it as uncharacterized. The transcript has 2 exons. Lineage: Eukaryota; Metazoa; Porifera; Calcarea; Leucosolenida; Sycettidae. The record is from RefSeq and is a predicted model, not a curated record.